Molecule: ribosomal RNA, 433 nt
Filed under: uncultured bacterium
Lineage: Bacteria
Description: partial 16S ribosomal RNA
Rfam family: Bacterial small subunit ribosomal RNA
Source: RNAcentral
AACGAACGCUGGCGGCAUGCCUAACACAUGCAAGUCGAACGAGACCUUCGGGUCUAGUGGCGCACGGGUGCGUAACGCGUGGGAACCUGCACUUAGGUUCGGAAUAACUCCCCGAAAGGGGUGCUAAUACCGGAUAAUGUCUUCGGACCAAAGAUUUAUCGCCUUUGGAUGGGCACGCGUUGGAUUAGCUAGUUGGUAGGGUAAAAGCCUACCAAGGCGACGAUCCAUAGCUGGUCUGAGAGGAUGAUCAGCCACACUGGGACUGGGACACGGCCCAGACUCCUACGGGAGGCAGCAGUGGGGAAUAUUGGACGCUGGGCGAAAGCCUGAUCCAGCAAUGCCGCGUGAGUGAUGAAGGCCUUAGGGUUGUAAAGCUCUUUUACCCGGGAUGAUAAUGACGGUACCGGGAGAAUAAGCUCCGGCUAACUCCGUG